Molecule: long non-coding RNA, 222 nt
Filed under: Linum usitatissimum (flax)
Lineage: Eukaryota; Viridiplantae; Streptophyta; Magnoliopsida; Malpighiales; Linaceae
Description: long non-coding RNA (LUSI_LNC003364)
Source: RNAcentral
GCAAACAGAACCAAAGAUAAGUGAUCUAUUAGGUCUUCCUACUCAGUCAAGGCUAAUCUUGUUGAACCUGAUUUCAGACACAAAGGGAAGAUGACCAGAAAACCCACUUGGCAAAGAAGGAGGAUCCUUGAGAAGCCAGGCCAAUCUCAGAGAUACCAUAAAGGAGCCUGCUAUGUGUGUGGGAAAAUUGGACAUAAGGCUUACCAAUGCACUCUAAGGAAG